RNAcentral lists this ribosomal RNA (253 nucleotides) under uncultured Alphaproteobacteria bacterium. Its description in RNAcentral is "partial 16S ribosomal RNA". It matches the Rfam family "Bacterial small subunit ribosomal RNA", at positions 524 to 776 of the family's 1533-position model. The record is from RNAcentral. Lineage: Bacteria; Pseudomonadati; Pseudomonadota; Alphaproteobacteria.
UACGAAGGGGGCUAGCGUUGUUCGGAAUUACUGGGCGUAAAGCGCUCGCAGGCGGAUUGAUAAGUCGGGGGUGAAAUCCCGGGGCUCAACCUCGGAAUUGCCUUCGAUACUGUCAGUCUUGAGUCCGGGAGAGGUGAGUGGAAUUCCUAGUGUAGAGGUGAAAUUCGUAGAUAUUAGGAAGAACACCAGUGGCGAAGGCGGCUCACUGGCCCGGAACUGACGCUCAUGAGCGAAAGCGUGGGGAGCAAACAGG